RNAcentral lists this long non-coding RNA (219 nucleotides) under Phoenix dactylifera (date palm). RNAcentral's name for it is "long non-coding RNA (PDAC_LNC014710)". Lineage: Eukaryota; Viridiplantae; Streptophyta; Magnoliopsida; Arecales; Arecaceae. The record is from RNAcentral.
UGUAACUUGAUUCAAUCAAGGGAUUGAAUCAAGGGGUUAAGGUUUGUUGGUGAGCCAAAGGAAAAACCAACUUUGUAAGGUUGUGGUUGGUGAGCCUUUGGGAAAACCAACUAGGUUGAUUGUGAACCCGAAAAACAAUCGUUGUAAGGUUGUGGUUGGUGAGCCUUUGGAAAAACCAACUGGGUUGGAUUGUGAGCCCGUGAAAACAAUCGGUUGGUU